GAUGAACGCUGGCGGCGUGCUUAACACAUGCAAGUCGAACGGUGAAGGCGGAGCUUGCUCUGCUGGAUCAGUGGCGAACGGGUGAGUAACACGUGAGCAAUCUGCCCCUGACUCUGGGAUAAGCGCUGGAAACGGCGUCUAAUACUGGAUACGAGCUGCGAAGGCAUCUUCAGCAGCUGGAAAGAAUUUCGGCCAGGGAUGAGCUCGCGGCCUAUCAGCUUGUUGGUGAGGUAAUGGCUCACCAAGGCGUCGACGGGUAGCCGGCCUGAGAGGGUGACCGGCCACACUGGGACUGAGAAACGGCCCAGACUCCUACGGGAGGCAGCAGUGGGGAAUAUUGCACAAUGGGCGAAAGCCUGAUGCAGCAACGCCGCGUGAGGGACGACGGCCUUCGGGUUGUAAACCUCUUUUAGCAGGGAAGAAGCGAAAGUGACGGUACCUGCAGAAAAAGCGCCGGCUAACUACGUG
RNAcentral lists this ribosomal RNA (468 nucleotides) under uncultured bacterium. RNAcentral describes it as "partial 16S ribosomal RNA". It matches the Rfam family "Bacterial small subunit ribosomal RNA", at positions 28 to 507 of the family's 1533-position model. The record is from RNAcentral.